CUACGGGACGCUCCAGUGGGGAAUAUUGGGCAAUGGGCGCAAGCCUGACCCAGCAACGCCGCGUGAGGGAAGAAUGUCUUCGGAUUGUAAACCUCUGUCCUUGGGGACGAAAAAAAUGACGGUACCCAAGGAGGAAGCUCCGGCUAACUACGUGCCAGCAGCCGUCGGUAAUACGUAGGGAGCAAGCGUUGUCCGGAAUUAUUGGGCGUAAAGGGUGCGUAGGCGGCGCUGUAAGUCAGAUGUGAAAUCCCCGGGCUUAACUCGGGAGUUGCAUUUGAAACUACAGUGCUUGAGUAAAGAAGGGGUAAGUGGAAUUCCUAGUGUAGCGGUGGAAUGCGUAGAUAUUAGGAGGAACACCAGUGGCGAAGGCGACUUACUGGUCUUUUACUGACGCUGAGGCACGAAAGCGUGGGGAGCAAACAGGAUUAGUUACCCCAGUAGUC
Molecule: ribosomal RNA, 443 nt
Filed under: uncultured bacterium
Lineage: Bacteria
Description: partial 16S ribosomal RNA
Rfam family: Bacterial small subunit ribosomal RNA
Source: RNAcentral